Molecule: unclassified non-coding RNA, 278 nt
Filed under: plant metagenome
Description: partial contains 5.8S ribosomal RNA, internal transcribed spacer 2, and large subunit ribosomal RNA
Source: RNAcentral
UUCAACUCCCACCUCGACGCCCGCAAGCCCCUCUUCAUCUCCAGGGUCGGAAAAGACAAACCCCUGACCACCCGCUCGGUCCGGAACAUAGUCAAAAAGUACGCUCGUGCCGCCGGCAUAAUCAAGGCCAUCUCCCCGCACUCCAUACGCCACACCGUCGGUACCAACAUGGCUAUGAACGAGGCACCUCUCUUGGUUAUCCAGCAAUUCCUCGGCCACGCCGACCCCAAAACCACCAUGCGCUACAUCCGACGCGCCGAAGAAUUGGCAGCAAGAGC